GAGGGUUGCCAAGCCGUAAGGUGGAGCUAAUCCCUUAAAGCUACUCUCAGUUCGGAUUGUAGGCUGAAACUCGCCUACAUGAAGCUGGAGUUACUAGUAAUCGCAGAUCAGAAUGCUGCGGUGAAUGCGUUCCCGGGUCUUGUACACCCCGCCCGUCACACCACGGGAGUUGGAGACGCCCGAAGCCGAUUAUCUAACCUUUUGGAAGAAGUCGUCGAAGGUGGAAUCAAUAACUGGGGUGAAGUCGUAA
RNAcentral lists this ribosomal RNA (250 nucleotides) under Clostridioides difficile. RNAcentral describes it as "partial 16S ribosomal RNA". It matches the Rfam family "Bacterial small subunit ribosomal RNA", at positions 1242 to 1491 of the family's 1533-position model. Lineage: Bacteria; Bacillati; Bacillota; Clostridia; Peptostreptococcales; Peptostreptococcaceae. The record is from RNAcentral.